CUCCCAGACAGAAUGUUAGGUAAUGCCAAUGAGCACAGAUCAAUCAUCUGCACAAUCUGAAGACGGAGCACUUUCCAUGGAGUGCUGAUGAAGUGCCAGGGUCCUAGGCUCCUCCUGGUGUGCCAGCCCUCAGACAAGUCUCUCAGCCUCAAGGUCCAGGAUGGCAACAUCUGUCCAAACAGCAAGAUGGAGAACAGGACAGGAUAGGAACGAAGUAGGAGAGGGGCCAAGGACUCAUGCUGGCAUCCCGCCAGCCUUUUGACACGAGUCACCCUUCCGCCACUUUAUAAAAGAAAGGUAGGCCUCUUAUCAGUGGUAGGCAAUAGCAGGGUAGUGAAAACCGUUUCCCCACCACUGCCAAGGUAGGGAAUAGAGGCUGCAUUGUCCUUAGAGAAUUGUAAACGAGUAACCAACCAAAAGUUCUUUGUUAUCCCCUGGGCCAGCAAUCCUAAACAAUGUCAGUGAUAAAACAUUCCUCCCUGAAAAAGUAUUUUAUUGGUCUAAGUUCUAAAUCUAAAUAAAUGCUGUCAUUACCACUGAGUUUUAAUUAUAUGUGAACUUCGGCCGGGCGCAGUGGCUCACGCCUGUAAUCCCAGCACUUUGGGAGGCCAAGGCAGGUGGAUCACCCGAGGUUAAGAGUUCGAGACCAGCCUGGCCAACAUGGUGAAACCCCUACUAAAAAU
RNAcentral lists this long non-coding RNA (683 nucleotides) under Pan troglodytes (chimpanzee). Its description in RNAcentral is "long non-coding RNA NONPTRT003308". Lineage: Eukaryota; Metazoa; Chordata; Mammalia; Primates; Hominidae. The record is from RNAcentral.